RNAcentral lists this long non-coding RNA (445 nucleotides) under Fukomys damarensis (Damara mole-rat). Its description in RNAcentral is "lncRNA (ENSFDAG00000028751.1)". Lineage: Eukaryota; Metazoa; Chordata; Mammalia; Rodentia; Bathyergidae. The record is from RNAcentral.
UUGUCCUCAUGUUCAGCGGGUGGAGAAGAGGGAGACUAAGACACAGACGGCAGCGGCCGCAGGGGGUGGGCUGAAGAUGCCCAGACCAAGGAAUAAAUUACACCGCUUGCAAUUCAGAGAGCGCCUGGUGUCUGGAAUGAACAAGGAAGAAAGGUGCGGGGCUGGAGGAGGUGCAGGGGCAGAUGAAGACACGGAGCGCUGCACGACCAUCACCUACUCCGUUCCAUGCUGGCUUCCUAGAUGGCCACUCCAGUUAUCUUUGGCCAACCGUGUCCUGCUGGGAUGCAGUGGGGAGUCCAGAGGGAAUCUUCCACCCCUUCACCCUCCUUUUCUCCAGCUGACUUGCUGCCCACCCAUUCAUAGAUCUUAUGUGCUGUGCCAGCCUCUUCUCCAGCAAUAAGAAGAUGCUUCAAGUCUUCACAAUCAAGCCCCACCCCAAUCAAAC